RNAcentral lists this ribosomal RNA (543 nucleotides) under Parandra sp. SK482. RNAcentral's name for it is "partial 16S ribosomal RNA". The record is from RNAcentral. Lineage: Eukaryota; Metazoa; Arthropoda; Insecta; Coleoptera; Cerambycidae.
UAAUUAAAGGUAAAAAUUUAUUUUUCCCGAAGUCAAGAGAUUUAAAUUUUUGUUGUUUUAUUGUUUUAUAAAUAUUCUUAACAUAAAUUUGGAAAUGAAACGUUUACGUUCUUGAAUAUAUCUGGUUUUUUCAGAAAUUAAUUUAAUUAAUUUUAUAAUUUUUAAUUUUUUUUAUCAAAAUUUUAGUUUUAUAAUAAAGUAAUUUCGGGGAUGAGCUCGAAUUUAAAGUUCUAAAAUUUUAUUUGCUGAUACACGGUAUUUCUAGUAACAGAAGUUUACAUGCAUGAAAGAGUGUUAUAACUAUUCUUGUAUAAUUUGUUAUUUUAAUCUGAUUUAGAUUUUUUAUGAAAAUUUUUUAUAUAAUUAUUAUUUUUUAGGAACAAUGAUAAAAUUAGUAUAGAUAAAGGUUUAUGUUUUUUUAUUGCAAAGAUAUUUUAAAGGAAUUCGGCAAAAAAUUCUUUACCUGUUUAUUAAAAACAUGGCUUUUUGAAAAUUAUUUAAGGUCUGGCCUGCCCACUGAAUCUUAAAGGGCCGCGGUAUCUU